RNAcentral lists this ribosomal RNA (399 nucleotides) under uncultured Glomeromycotina. Its description in RNAcentral is "SSU rRNA". It matches the Rfam family "Eukaryotic small subunit ribosomal RNA", at positions 569 to 971 of the family's 1831-position model. The record is from RNAcentral. Lineage: Eukaryota; Fungi; Glomeromycota.
AGCAGCCGCGGUAAUUCCAGCUCCAAUAGCGUAUAUUAAAGUUGUUGCAGUUAAAAAGCUCGUAGUUGAAUUUCGGGAUCAGUACGCUGGUCGUGCCUUUGGUAUGUACUGGUGUCACUGAUUCCUCCCUUCUGAAGAACCGUUAUGCCAUUUAUUUGGUGUGGCGGGAAAUCAGGACUGUUACUUUGAAAAAAUUAGAGUGUUUAAAGCAGGCUCGCGCUUGAAUACAUUAGCAUGGAAUAAUGAAAUAGGACGUUUGAUCUUAUUUUGUUGGUUUUCUAGGAUCGACGUAAUGAUUAAUAGGGAUAGUUGGGGGCAUUAGUAUUCAAUUGUCAGAGGUGAAAUUCUUGGAUUUAUUGAAGACUAACUACUGCGAAAGCAUUUGCCAAGGAUGUUUUC